Molecule: long non-coding RNA, 499 nt
Organism: Ostrea edulis (European flat oyster)
Lineage: Eukaryota; Metazoa; Mollusca; Bivalvia; Ostreida; Ostreidae
Exons: 3
Source: RefSeq, a predicted model, not a curated record
UUCAGAAGAUGUCAGCUGUACAACUUUGAAAUCGGAAAAAUCAAGAUGUGCAUGAUACCAACAAGAAUGUGAACUUUUCAAAGAGCAUGAUAUUUCCAAUUUUCCACAUCUCUAGACCAGUGACCACAAAUGUACAUACAAGUACCCACAGAUGACAGCCAUAUUGACUCCAGUAGAUAAUAUUCAUCUCCAUCAGCUGGUUACUAGCUGUACAUAGUGGUCAAACCAGGAUAUCCACUAAUUGCAUUCAGUGAUGUGAAUUGUCAUCUGCAUUUGUGCUUAUGAACUUUAGUAAACUGUCAAGUUUUAAUAUCAAGAAAAUGACUGCUGAAAAAGCAUCUAAUCUUGUGUUCUAUGAAUGUUUUCAAUUAAACACAAAACAAAAUGAGAAAUAGUUUUAUUGAAACUUAAUUGAAAUUCACUUUGAAUUACUUUGCAUUGACUGAGUACUUCAAAUUUUAAUCUUUCUACAUUUUCAUGGUCAAGUGAUAAAAAGUAU